AAUCAACGCUGGCGGCGUGCCUCAGACAUGCAAGUCGAACGAUUAAAGCUCUCUUCGGAGAGUGUAUAGAGUGGCGCACGGGUGAGUAACACGUAAGUAAUCUACCCUCGAGUGGGGAAUAACAACCGGAAACGGUUGCUAAUACCGCAUAAUGCAGCGGCACCGCAAGGUGACAGUUGUUAAAGAUUUAUCGCUUGAGGAGGAGCUUGCGGCAGAUUAGCUAGUUGGUAGGGUAACGGCUUACCAAGGCUACGAUCUGUAACCGGUCUAAGAGGACGGUCGGUCACACUGACACUGAAUAACGGGUCAGACUCCUACGGGAGGCAGCAGUCGGGAAUUUUGGGCAAUGGGCGAAAGCCUGACCCAGCAACGCCGCGUGAAGGAUGAAGUAUUUCGGUAUGUAAACUUACGAAAGAAUAAGGAAGAAAUUAA
Molecule: ribosomal RNA, 432 nt
Filed under: uncultured bacterium
Lineage: Bacteria
Description: bacterial SSU rRNA
Rfam family: Bacterial small subunit ribosomal RNA
Source: RNAcentral